RNAcentral lists this transfer RNA (73 nucleotides) under bacterium. Its description in RNAcentral is "tRNA-Ile". It matches the Rfam family "tRNA". Rfam says of the family: Transfer RNA (tRNA) molecules are approximately 80 nucleotides in length. Their secondary structure includes four short double-helical elements and three loops (D, anti-codon, and T loops). The record is from RNAcentral.
GGGCCCAUAGCUCAGCGGUUAGAGCUUCCGACUCAUAAUCGGCAGGUCCCAGGUUCGAAUCCUGGUGGGCCCA